This 107-nucleotide small RNA is filed under the name Marmota monax (woodchuck). The record is from RNAcentral. Lineage: Eukaryota; Metazoa; Chordata; Mammalia; Rodentia; Sciuridae.
GCCAGGCAUGGUCAUGAAUGCCUGUAAUCCUAGCUACUUGGGAGGCUGAGCCAGGAGGAUUGCAUGUUCAAGGCCAGCCUGGGCAACUUGGUGAAACCCUAUCUCAA